GUCCACGCCGUAAACGAUGGGUGCUAGGUGUCGCGGGCAUUGACCCCUGCGGUGCCGAAGCCAACGCAUUAAGCACCCCGCCUGGGGAGUACGGCCGCAAGGCUAAAACUCAAAAGGAAUUGACGGGGCCCGCACAAGCGGUGGAGCAUGUGGUUUAAUUCGACGCAACGCGCAGAACCUUACCCGGGCUAGAAAAUGCAGGAACCUGGUCGAAAGAUCGGAGUGCUCUUCGGAGAACCUGUAGUUAGGUGCUGCAUGGCUGUCGU
RNAcentral lists this ribosomal RNA (266 nucleotides) under uncultured bacterium. RNAcentral's name for it is "partial 16S ribosomal RNA". It matches the Rfam family "Bacterial small subunit ribosomal RNA", at positions 793 to 1055 of the family's 1533-position model. The record is from RNAcentral.